This 921-nucleotide unclassified non-coding RNA is filed under the name Hevea brasiliensis (rubber tree). Lineage: Eukaryota; Viridiplantae; Streptophyta; Magnoliopsida; Malpighiales; Euphorbiaceae. The record is from RNAcentral.
UUGAAGGGUGGUGCUAAGAAGGUGAUCAUCUCUGCCCCUAGCAAGGAUGCUCCCAUGUUUGUGAUGGGUGUGAACCAUACUGAGUACAAGUCUGACAUCCAUAUUGUAUCCAAUGCCAGCUGCACCACCAAUUGUCUUGCUCCUUUGGCUAAGGUCAUCAAUGAUAAGUUCGGGAUUGUCGAGGGUUUGAUGACCACUGUGCACGCCAUCACUGCUACUCAGAAAACUGUUGAUGGACCAUCCAGCAAGGACUGGAGGGGUGGAAGGGCUGCAAGCUUCAACAUUAUUCCAAGCAGCACUGGUGCGGCUAAGGCUGUUGGCAAAGUUCUCCCUGCAUUGAAUGGCAAGCUAACUGGAAUGGCUUUCCGGGUUCCCACUGUCGAUGUGUCUGUUGUUGAUCUCACUGUUAGGCUUGAGAAGGCUGCUACUUAUGAUCAGAUCAAGGCUGCUAUUAAGGAAGAGUCGGAGGGAAAACUGAAAGGAAUUCUUGGUUAUAUUGAUGAGGAUUUGGUUUCCACUGACUUUGUGGGUGACAGCAGGUCAAGCAUCUUUGAUGCCAAGGCUGGGAUUGCUCUGAACGAUAACUUUGUGAAGCUGGUAUCCUGGUAUGACAACGAGUGGGGCUACAGCACUCGUGUGGUUGAUCUCCUCCGCCACAUGGCUGCGACCAAGUAGGUGGAUGUCCUUUUUACGGUGGUGUAGGGUAUUGUAGAGAAUAAAAGUCGGCUUCAUGAACUGGGAGCUUUUAUGCUGAGGGAACCUUUGUUUAGUAGUUUGUAUGGGCGUCAGGUGGUAGCCCGCAUUUUGCAUCGGCUCUUGUGAAAAGCUGUUAAAAUCUUUGAAUAUGGCUGGUCUGAGAGUUUUAAGUUGAUAUGGCUGUUUGUUUCAGAUUUGAUAUAUUUUAAUCAGAUUUAGUUUUGC